RNAcentral lists this non-coding RNA (29 nucleotides) under Mus musculus (house mouse). The record is from RNAcentral. Lineage: Eukaryota; Metazoa; Chordata; Mammalia; Rodentia; Muridae.
UCCCAUGUUGUGUUCAGUUGGCAAACUUA